Long non-coding RNA from Frankliniella occidentalis (western flower thrips), 569 nucleotides. RefSeq lists it as uncharacterized. NCBI's taxonomy places the organism in Eukaryota, Metazoa, Arthropoda, Insecta, Thysanoptera, Thripidae. The record is from RefSeq and is a predicted model, not a curated record. The transcript has 2 exons.
AUAAAUCUGAUAACUUACAAUGGCAUCAAUCAAACCUAUCUUAAGAGAUUCUUCUGGUGAAACAAUUCUGCUAGAGGAUAUCAAGUCAAGAGCCAUGCGAGACCCAAGAAUGGUUGCGAGUCGAGAAGUUGCUCCCCAUGCAGCACCCCCACCAAUUGCGCCUGAUUGAAAAGAAAACAUGGUUACAAUAAAUACUUUGCCGAAAAAGUUUAUGAACCCUUACUAAAAUAAAGGCAAGAAUGUAGAAUUGCAACCUUGUCCAUGAAUGAGAGCCAUGCUGACCAUUGGUAAGGCUUUCAGUCUGCUCAAAAUAUUGUGCAUGUAACAUGACAUUUUAAAACCACCUUCAGCACCAGCUGACGCUCUGGCAAAGUCAAGAUCUCCUCCUGAACACAGCAUACUACCAUCACCUCUAACAAGAAUGCCUUUUCCAUUUGACCAUUUCUCCAGCUUUUCAAUAAUAUCGCCCAACUGAACCAUCAUUAUUCCUGUAAUGUGAACCGCAAAAUUUAUACACAUAAAAUUUAAUUACAUGAGCGCUAUAAAUAAAAGUGUUAAAUCAAGACUUA